GCGGAAAUAGCUCAAUUGGCAGAGCGACGCUCUCAUAAGGCGUAGGUCCUGAGUUCGAUUCUCAGUUUCCGCA
This 73-nucleotide transfer RNA is filed under the name Bacteroidales bacterium. RNAcentral's name for it is "tRNA-Met". It matches the Rfam family "tRNA". Rfam says of the family: Transfer RNA (tRNA) molecules are approximately 80 nucleotides in length. Their secondary structure includes four short double-helical elements and three loops (D, anti-codon, and T loops). The record is from RNAcentral. Lineage: Bacteria; Pseudomonadati; Bacteroidota; Bacteroidia; Bacteroidales.